UCUACCUAUUGACUGGUAGAAGUAAGCGCUACCGAGGGGAAGAGGUACCCAGGGAGUGAGACAUGGCCCUCCUCGUCCUGAGAUCCUGGAGCUCUUCAGUUUUCAGUCCUCACACCAGCCCUUCCAGCUCAGAAAAUACAGGCACCAUAUUUACAGCUUCCGCGGAGCCCUCCUUUCUUCAAAUUCCUCCAAGCACUCAACAGUGUCAAGUGUCAGAAGCAUUAAACUUGUCAUUUUGCC
Heterocephalus glaber (naked mole-rat) is the source of this 240-nucleotide non-coding RNA. The record is from RefSeq and is a predicted model, not a curated record. NCBI's taxonomy places the organism in Eukaryota, Metazoa, Chordata, Mammalia, Rodentia, Bathyergidae.